This 253-nucleotide ribosomal RNA is filed under the name uncultured bacterium. RNAcentral's name for it is "partial 16S ribosomal RNA". It matches the Rfam family "Bacterial small subunit ribosomal RNA", at positions 524 to 776 of the family's 1533-position model. The record is from RNAcentral.
UACGGAGGAUCCGAGCGUUAUCCGGAUUUAUUGGGUUUAAAGGGAGCGUAGGUGGAUUGUUAAGUCAGUUGUGAAAGUUUGCGGCUCAACCGUAAAAUUGCAGUUGAAACUGGCAGUCUUGAGUACAGUAGAGGUGGGCGGAAUUCGUGGUGUAGCGGUGAAAUGCUUGGAUAUCACGAAGAACUCCGAUUGCGAAGGCAGCUCACUAGACUGCAACUGACACUGAUGCUCGAAAGUGUGGGUAUCAAACAGG